RNAcentral lists this ribosomal RNA (292 nucleotides) under uncultured bacterium. RNAcentral describes it as "partial 16S ribosomal RNA". It matches the Rfam family "Bacterial small subunit ribosomal RNA", at positions 505 to 796 of the family's 1533-position model. The record is from RNAcentral.
GUGUCAGCAGCCGCGGUAAGACGUAGGAUGCGAGCGUUGUCCGGAAUUAUUGGGCGUAAAGCGUACGUAGGCGGUCAUCUAAGUCUGGGGUUAAAGACCAAGGCUCAACCUUGGGAGUGCCCUGGAUACUGGGUGACUGGAGGACGGCAGAGGAAAGUGGAAUUCCCAGUGUAGCGGUGAAAUGCGUAGAUAUUGGGAGGAACACCAGUGGCGAAAGCGACUUUCUGGGCCGUUCCUGACGCUGAGGUACGAAAGCCAGGGGAGCAAACGGGAUUAGAUACCCCAGUAGUCC